This 253-nucleotide ribosomal RNA is filed under the name uncultured bacterium. RNAcentral's name for it is "partial 16S ribosomal RNA". It matches the Rfam family "Bacterial small subunit ribosomal RNA", at positions 524 to 776 of the family's 1533-position model. The record is from RNAcentral.
UACGUAGGGGGCAAGCGUUGUCCGGAUUUAUUGGGCGUAAAGAGCGUGUAGGCGGCCAGAUAGGUCAGCUGUGAAAACUCGAGGCUCAACCUCGAGAUGUCGGCUGAAACCAUCUGGCUAGAGUCCGGAAGAGGAGAAUGGAAUUCCCGGUGUAGCGGUGAAAUGCGCAGAUAUCGGGAAGAACACCCGUGGCGAAGGCGGUUCUCUGGGACGGUACUGACGCUGAGACGCGAAAGCGUGGGGAGCGAACAGA